Biomphalaria glabrata is the source of this 413-nucleotide long non-coding RNA. RefSeq lists it as uncharacterized. The transcript has 4 exons. NCBI's taxonomy places the organism in Eukaryota, Metazoa, Mollusca, Gastropoda, Planorbidae. The record is from RefSeq and is a predicted model, not a curated record.
GGAGUGCAGUAGGCUCCUAUUUCCCGUGGCCGCGCAGCCCCAGCUGUGACCUACAUAUUUUGCCACAUCCAUGACAAGCAUAACCAUUGCAUUGUCCGCAGCUCAAAUAUCCAGUUAUGAACUGCAAAACUAUCAACAGCCACAAGCCAAUUUCUGCCAAUACAACACAGAAGAGACGUUCAAUCACUCGGACAGAGGAUGGUGACAGACAAACUACUGGUUAUUACAUGUGUGCUGUGAUUUCCUGUACAAAGGUGAAUACCUUGUUUACGCUAUCGUUUCGAUAGGAUCAAACUGUAACUUCAGAGGCGGUGACCACAUCAACAACUUUGUCUUCCAUAGCAAGAAAAAUGAAAAUAACCCAGUUCCCAGAUAGGUCUCUACAUAAACCGAUGAUCUACGACAUUCCCACU